CCUGGUGCCAAUGGCGGUCUGGAACCACGCCGACCCAUCCCGAACUCGGUUGUGAAACAGGCCUGCGGCGAAGAUACUCUGGGGGUUGCCCCAUGGGAAAUUAGCUCGGUGCCAGGU
Molecule: ribosomal RNA, 117 nt
Filed under: Leptolyngbya sp. SIOISBB
Lineage: Bacteria; Bacillati; Cyanobacteriota; Cyanophyceae; Leptolyngbyales; Leptolyngbyaceae
Source: RNAcentral